CCCUACGGGGUGCUGUGGCUGUAGACCCUUCCAUCGAUACAAUUUUUGAAAUCGGGGGACAGGAUUCCAAGUACAUUCACAUAGAAAACACUCAUCCCCUGGAUUUCGACAUGAACAAGGUCUGUGCAGCCGGGACCGGCAGCUUCCUUCAUGAGCUGGCCAACAAGAUGAAGAUCAAUAUCGUGAAGGAAUUUCAGGAGAUUGCUCUCGCUUCCUCACGCCCCGUGCACCUGGCUGAGCGCUGCACGGUUUUCAUGGAAUCGGAAUUGGCGGGGGAGC
RNAcentral lists this ribosomal RNA (279 nucleotides) under uncultured prokaryote. RNAcentral describes it as "partial 16S ribosomal RNA". The record is from RNAcentral.